RNAcentral lists this ribosomal RNA (253 nucleotides) under uncultured bacterium. RNAcentral's name for it is "partial 16S ribosomal RNA". It matches the Rfam family "Bacterial small subunit ribosomal RNA", at positions 524 to 776 of the family's 1533-position model. The record is from RNAcentral.
UACAGAGGGGGCAAGCGUUGUUCGGAAUUACUGGGCGUAAAGGGCGCGUAGGCGGCCUGUUAAGUCGAACGUGAAAUCCCCGGGCUCAACCCGGGAACUGCGUCCGAUACUGGCAGGCUUGAAUCCGGGAGAGGGAUGUGGAAUUCCAGGUGUAGCGGUGAAAUGCGUAGAUAUCUGGAGGAACACCGGUGGCGAAGGCGGCAUCCUGGACCGGUAUUGACGCUGCGGCGCGAAAGCCAGGGGAGCAAACGGG